Molecule: transfer RNA, 74 nt
Filed under: Pseudokineococcus marinus
Lineage: Bacteria; Bacillati; Actinomycetota; Actinomycetes; Kineosporiales; Kineosporiaceae
Also listed under: 1 other name
Description: Kineococcus marinus tRNA
Rfam family: tRNA
About the family: Transfer RNA (tRNA) molecules are approximately 80 nucleotides in length.
Source: Rfam by way of RNAcentral
GCCCCGGUAUCCCAACCGGCAGAGGAAGUGGCCUCAAAAUCCACGCAGUGUGGGUUCGAGUCCCACCCGGGGCA